RNAcentral lists this ribosomal RNA (1540 nucleotides) under Staphylococcus aureus F50126. Its description in RNAcentral is "16S ribosomal RNA". It matches the Rfam family "Bacterial small subunit ribosomal RNA". Lineage: Bacteria; Bacillati; Bacillota; Bacilli; Caryophanales; Staphylococcaceae. The record is from RNAcentral.
AGAGUUUGAUCCUGGCUCAGGAUGAACGCUGGCGGCGUGCCUAAUACAUGCAAGUCGAGCGAACGGACGAGAAGCUUGCUUCUCUGAUGUUAGCGGCGGACGGGUGAGUAACACGUGGAUAACCUACCUAUAAGACUGGGAUAACUUCGGGAAACCGUAGCUAAUACCGGAUAAUAUUUUGAACCGCAUGGUUCAAAAGUGAAAGACGGUCUUGCUGUCACUUAUAGAUGGAUCCGCGCUGCAUUAGCUAGUUGGUAAGGUAACGGCUUACCAAGGCAACGAUGCAUAGCCGACCUGAGAGGGUGAUCGGCCACACUGGAACUGAGGCACGGUCCAGACUCCUACGGGAGGCAGCAGUAGGGAAUCUUCCGCAAUGGGCGAAAGCCUGACGGAGCAACGCCGCGUGAGUGAUGAAGGUCUUCGGAUCGUAAAACUCUGUUAUUAGGGAAGAACAUAUGUGUAAGUAACUGUGCACAUCUUGACGGUACCUAAUCAGAAAGCCACGGCUAACUACGUGCCAGCAGCCGCGGUAAUACGUAGGUGGCAAGCGUUAUCCGGAAUUAUUGGGCGUAAAGCGCGCGUAGGCGGUUUUUUAAGUCUGAUGUGAAAGCCCACGGCUCAACCGUGGAGGGUCAUUGGAAACUGGAAAACUUGAGUGCAGAAGAGGAAAGUGGAAUUCCAUGUGUAGCGGUGAAAUGCGCAGAGAUAUGGAGGAACACCAGUGGCGAAGGCGACUUUCUGGUCUGUAACUGACGCUGAUGUGCGAAAGCGUGGGGAUCAAACAGGAUUAGAUACCCUGGUAGUCCACGCCGUAAACGAUGAGUGCUAAGUGUUAGGGGGUUUCCGCCCCUUAGUGCUGCAGCUAACGCAUUAAGCACUCCGCCUGGGGAGUACGACCGCAAGGUUGAAACUCAAAGGAAUUGACGGGGACCCGCACAAGCGGUGGAGCAUGUGGUUUAAUUCGAAGCAACGCGAAGAACCUUACCAAAUCUUGACAUCCUUUGACAACUCUAGAGAUAGAGCCUUCCCCUUCGGGGGACAAAGUGACAGGUGGUGCAUGGUUGUCGUCAGCUCGUGUCGUGAGAUGUUGGGUUAAGUCCCGCAACGAGCGCAACCCUUAAGCUUAGUUGCCAUCAUUAAGUUGGGCACUCUAAGUUGACUGCCGGUGACAAACCGGAGGAAGGUGGGGAUGACGUCAAAUCAUCAUGCCCCUUAUGAUUUGGGCUACACACGUGCUACAAUGGACAAUACAAAGGGCAGCGAAACCGCGAGGUCAAGCAAAUCCCAUAAAGUUGUUCUCAGUUCGGAUUGUAGUCUGCAACUCGACUACAUGAAGCUGGAAUCGCUAGUAAUCGUAGAUCAGCAUGCUACGGUGAAUACGUUCCCGGGUCUUGUACACACCGCCCGUCACACCACGAGAGUUUGUAACACCCGAAGCCGGUGGAGUAACCUUUUAGGAGCUAGCCGUCGAAGGUGGGACAAAUGAUUGGGGUGAAGUCGUAACAAGGUAGCCGUAUCGGAAGGUGCGGCUGGAUCACCU